CAGUAGCCGCGGGAAUACGUAGGGUGCGAGCGUUAAUCGGAAUUACUGGGCGUAAAGCGUGCGCAGGCGGUUUUGUAAGACAGGCGUGAAAUCCCCGGGCUCAACCUGGGAAUGGCGCUUGUGACUGCAAAGCUAGAGUGCGGCAGAGGGGGAUGGAAUUCCGCGUGUAGCAGUGAAAUGCGUAGAUAUGCGGAGGAACACCGAUGGCGAAGGCAAUCCCCUGGGCCUGCACUGACGCUCAUGCACGAAAGCGUGGGGAGCAAACAGGAUUAGAUACCCGAGUAGUCCCUGUCUCUUAUAC
RNAcentral lists this ribosomal RNA (301 nucleotides) under uncultured bacterium. RNAcentral's name for it is "partial 16S ribosomal RNA". It matches the Rfam family "Bacterial small subunit ribosomal RNA", at positions 509 to 807 of the family's 1533-position model. The record is from RNAcentral.